AGUGAACGCUGGCGGUAGGCCUAACACAUGCAAGUCGAACGGCAGCACAGUAAGAGCUUGCUCUUACGGGUGGCGAGUGGCGGACGGGUGAGGAAUACAGCGGAAUCUACUUUUUCGUGGGGGAUAACGUAGGGAAACUUACGCUAAUACCGCAUACGACCUACGGGUGAAAGCAGGGGAUCUUCGGACCUUGCGCGAUUGAAUGAGCCGAUGUCGGAUUAGCUAGUUGGCGGGGUAAAGGCCCACCAAGGCGACGAUCCGUAGCUGGUCUGAGAGGAUGAUCAGCCACACUGGAGCUGAGACACGGUCCAGACUCCUACGGGAGGCAGCAGUGGGGAAUAUUGGACAAUGGGCGCAAGCCUGCUCCAGCCAUACCGCGUGGGUGAAGAAGGCCUUCGGGUUGUAAAGCCCUUUUGUUGGGAAAGAAAAGCAGCAGGUUAAUAUCCCGCUGUUCUGACGGUAGCCAAAGAAUAAGCACCGGCUAACUUCGUG
This 492-nucleotide ribosomal RNA is filed under the name uncultured bacterium. RNAcentral describes it as "partial 16S ribosomal RNA". It matches the Rfam family "Bacterial small subunit ribosomal RNA", at positions 29 to 507 of the family's 1533-position model. The record is from RNAcentral.